This 331-nucleotide unclassified non-coding RNA is filed under the name soil metagenome. RNAcentral's name for it is "partial contains 5.8S ribosomal RNA, internal transcribed spacer 2, and large subunit ribosomal RNA". The stretch from base 1 to 120 matches the Rfam family "5.8S ribosomal RNA", at positions 35 to 154 of the family's 154-position model. The record is from RNAcentral.
GAUGAAGAACGCAGCAAAAUGCGAUAAGUAAUGUGAAUUGCAGAAUUCAGUGAAUCAUCGAAUCUUUGAACGCACAUUGCGCCCGCCAGUAUUCUGGCGGGCAUGCCUGUUCGAGCGUCAUUUCAACCCUCAAGCACAGCUUGGUGUUGGGACUCGCGUUAAUUCGCGUUCCCCAAAUUGAUUGGCGGUCACGUCGAGCUUCCAUAGCGUAGUAGUAAAACCCUCGUUACUGGUAAUCGUCGCGGCCACGCCGUUAAACCCCAACUUCUGAAUGUUGACCUCGGAUCAGGUAGGAAUACCCGCUGAACUUAAGCAUAUCAAUAACGGAGGA